Molecule: unclassified non-coding RNA, 253 nt
Filed under: uncultured Gammaproteobacteria bacterium
Lineage: Bacteria; Pseudomonadati; Pseudomonadota; Gammaproteobacteria
Description: contains 16S-23S intergenic spacer region
Rfam family: Bacterial small subunit ribosomal RNA
Source: RNAcentral
UACGUAGGGUGCGAGCGUUAAUCGGAAUUACUGGGCGUAAAGCGUGCGCAGGCUGUCUUGUAAGACAGAUGUGAAAUCCCCGGGCUCAACCUGGGACCUGCAUUUGUGACUGCAAGGCUGGAGUGCGGCCGAGGGGGAUGGAAUUCCGCGUGUAGCAGUGAAAUGCGUAGAUAUGCGGAGGAACACCGAUGGCGAAGGCAAUCCCCUGGGCCUGCACUGACGCUCAUGCACGAAAGCGUGGGGGGCAAACAGG